RNAcentral lists this long non-coding RNA (208 nucleotides) under Mustela putorius furo (domestic ferret). Its description in RNAcentral is "lncRNA (ENSMPUG00000025138.1)". The record is from RNAcentral. Lineage: Eukaryota; Metazoa; Chordata; Mammalia; Carnivora; Mustelidae.
CAAAAAUCACUCAGAGGUAAUGGCUAUUGACCUUUUUUUUUUUUUUUUUUUUAGCAUUGACCAUUUUCAUGAAGUUCAGCCUAACCAAGUGAGCCACCUAAGUGCCCUCAGUCCUUUUUUUAAAAAUUCAGUUUAUUUAAACAAACAGUUAUCCAUUGGCACAAUAAUCUGAUGACAAACCACCUGAAGACUUACUCUCACCGCUCAC